GAGUUUGAUCUUGGCUCAGGACGAACGCUGGCGGCGUGCUUAACACAUGCAAGUCACGGGGGCUCGCAAGAGCAACCGGCGAACGGGUGCGUAGCACGUGAGCAACCUACCGAUUUGCGGGGGAUAGCUGCCCUAACGGGCAGGUAAUACCGCAUACGCUCUUUUGGUCACCUGACCGGGAGAGGAAACCUCCGGGGCAAAUUGAGGGGCUCGCGGCCUAUCAGCUAGUUGGCGAGGUAACGGCUCACCAAGGCGACGACGGGUAGCUGGUCUGAGAGGAUGGCCAGCCACAUUGGGACUGAGAAACGGCCCAGACUCCUACGGGAGGCAGCAGUGGGGAAUCUUGCGCAAUGGGCGAAAGCCUGACGCAGCGACGCCGCGUGGGGGAUGAAGGUUUUCGGAUCGUAAACCCCUGUUGCCCGGGACGAACUUCUCCAUUCGUGGAGAUUGACGGUACCGGGUGAGGAAGCACCGGCUAACUCUGUGCCAGCCGCCGCCGUAAU
This 503-nucleotide ribosomal RNA is filed under the name uncultured Gemmatimonadota bacterium. RNAcentral describes it as "bacterial SSU rRNA". It matches the Rfam family "Bacterial small subunit ribosomal RNA", at positions 9 to 524 of the family's 1533-position model. Lineage: Bacteria; Pseudomonadati; Gemmatimonadota. The record is from RNAcentral.